Molecule: long non-coding RNA, 1132 nt
Filed under: Mytilus galloprovincialis (Mediterranean mussel)
Lineage: Eukaryota; Metazoa; Mollusca; Bivalvia; Mytilida; Mytilidae
Source: RNAcentral
AUUAACAUUAUUUAUCAUAUAUUUAGUACAAAAUACAGCUAUUUUGUAUAUCUAAUAAAGGUUGUUUUUCCAGUCUGUAUCACCUACCCUGUAUCGCAUACCCCGUAUCGCAUAGCUAAACCCGUAUCGCAUACCCCGUAUCGCAUGGUAAAACCCGUAUCGCAUACCUUUUUUUUUUUUUUUAUUUUUUACAUAAAGUUUUUUGUUUUUCUUUUGCUUAAGAAAAAAUUUCCUCAAAAUAGGUCAUUUUUUUUAAUGACGUCAUUGUUUGGUAUGUAACGUCACGAACGUCAAGUUUUCAUAUUGUAUGUAACGUCACGAACGUCAAGUUUUCAUAUUUUUUGGCACACUAAAUGCAACUAUAAAAAAUACAAAACACUCAAAUAAAUACAAUAAUAAACAAAAUAUUUUUAAAACAGCAGCAGGCAAAUGGUAAGGUAAUCUAGGUGCUUUGUAUAAGCAGUUAUUUUAAGGCUUUGAACCAAGACAAAAGCAGAACUGAAGGUAACCCAGUGCUAAUCUAUCGGGAUCAGAAAACAGUUCAUAUAAUAUAAUACUCUUCUGUUGAAAUAUAUGAUAAAGCGUAUAAUACAUGGCAAAAUCCGUAUCACAUGCCGUAUCACCCUCGACCAAUAUCAUCCCUCGGGCCUAAAGGCCCUUGGGCUGAUAUUGAUGUCUCGGGAUGAUACGACAUAUGAUACGGAUUUUGCCAUGUAUUAUUCUCUAUAUAUACUGCAGCUGUCCUAUUUGAGCAGUCAAAUUGCAUUGACUGUAUAUUCAUAUGUGAUAUACAGUCACUGACCGUAUAUCACCUUGUUUAUGACGUUGACAAUGCGUUUUUCGUAGAGUUUUAUUUAUGACGUCAAUAAAACAUACAGGUUCGCGGAAAUUUUACGUCGUCCGCUCCAAAUUAAAAAAUGAUGGUUUUUACCCUAAAUACUUCAUUUAGAACACUUAUAAGAGUUGCAGUAUAUAAAGAAUAACCAUACAUUGUCUCGAAAUAUCAAUCGGUUAUUUGUACUCGGCUCGAAACAGGUAGAAAUGCUCGGCACAGCCUCGCUUUCUACCUGUUUCUAAGCCUUGUACAAAUAACAUUGAUAUUUCGAGACAAUGCAUGGUUAUUCUAUAUUUA